This 83-nucleotide transfer RNA is filed under the name Anaerolineae bacterium. Its description in RNAcentral is "tRNA-Leu". It matches the Rfam family "tRNA". From Rfam's summary of the family: Transfer RNA (tRNA) molecules are approximately 80 nucleotides in length. RNAcentral also lists the same sequence under 1 other name. Lineage: Bacteria; Bacillati; Chloroflexota; Anaerolineae. The record is from RNAcentral.
GCCGAAGUGGCGGAAUAGGCAGACGCAAGCGACUCAAACUCGCUCGGGCUUAGCCCAUGUGGGUUCGACUCCCACCUUCGGCA